This 516-nucleotide ribosomal RNA is filed under the name uncultured Gram-positive bacterium. RNAcentral's name for it is "bacterial SSU rRNA". It matches the Rfam family "Bacterial small subunit ribosomal RNA", at positions 8 to 521 of the family's 1533-position model. The record is from RNAcentral.
AGAGUUUGAUCCUGGCUCAGGAUGAACGCUGGCGGCGUGCUUAACACAUGCAAGUCGAACGAAGCACUCUAUUUGAUUUUCUUCGGAAAUGAAGAUUUUGUGACUGAGUGGCGGACGGGUGAGUAACGCGUGGGUAACCUGCCUCAUACAGGGGGAUAACAGUUGGAAACGACUGCUAAUACCGCAUAAGCGCACAGGAUCGCAUGAUCCGGUGUGAAAAACUCCGGUGGUAUGGGAUGGACCCGCGUCUGAUUAGCCAGUUGGCAGGGUAACGGCCUACCAAAGCGACGAUCAGUAGCCGACCUGAGAGGGUGACCGGCCACAUUGGGACUGAGACACGGCCCAAACUCCUACGGGAGGCAGCAGUGGGGAAUAUUGCACAAUGGGGGAAACCCUGAUGCAGCGACGCCGCGUGAGCGAAGAAGUAUUUCGGUAUGUAAAGCUCUAUCAGCAGGGAAGAAGAAUGACGGUACCUGACUAAGAAGCACCGGCUAAAUACGUGCCAGCAGCCGCGGU